RNAcentral lists this ribosomal RNA (253 nucleotides) under uncultured bacterium. RNAcentral's name for it is "partial 16S ribosomal RNA". It matches the Rfam family "Bacterial small subunit ribosomal RNA", at positions 524 to 776 of the family's 1533-position model. The record is from RNAcentral.
GACGAACCGUGCGAACGUUAUUCGGAAUCACUGGGCUUAAAGGGCGCGUAGGCGGGCCACCAAGUCAGGGGUGAAAGCCUCCGGCUCAACCGGAGAAGUGCCUUUGAUACUGGUGGCCUAGAGGGAGGUAGGGGCCUGCGGAACUUCCGGUGGAGCGGUGAAAUGCGUAGAUAUCGGAAGGAACGCCGGUGGCGAAAGCGGCGGGCUGGACCUCUUCUGACGCUGAGGCGCGAAAGCCAGGGGAGCAAACGGG